Molecule: ribosomal RNA, 327 nt
Filed under: uncultured eukaryote
Lineage: Eukaryota
Description: partial 18S ribosomal RNA
Rfam family: Eukaryotic small subunit ribosomal RNA
Source: RNAcentral
CCCUUAGAUGUUCUGGACCGCACACGCGCUACACUGAAGGAGGCAGCGUGUACUCCUGGAUCGAAAGAUUUGGGUAACCCGCGAAUCUCCUUCGUGCUAGGGAUUGAGGUUUGCAAUUAUCCUUCAUGAACGAGGAAUUCCCAGUAAGUGCAAGUCAUAAGCUUGCGCUGACUACGUCCCUGCCCUUUGUACACACCGCCCGUCGCUACUACCGAUUGAAUGAUUUAGUGAGGACUUCGGACUGGGACCGAUGCGGCUUUCGGGCUGCGUCGGUAUUCUGGAAAGAUGUCCAAACUGUAUCAUUUAGAGGAAGUAAAANUCGUAACA